GCCUGGAUAGCUCAGUUGGUUUGAGCAUAGUGCUGAUAAUGCCAUGGUUGCAGGUUUGAUCCCCAUAUGGGACA
This 74-nucleotide transfer RNA is filed under the name Podarcis lilfordi (Lilford's wall lizard). RNAcentral describes it as "tRNA.Ile". The record is from RNAcentral. Lineage: Eukaryota; Metazoa; Chordata; Lepidosauria; Squamata; Lacertidae.